UUUUGCUGAUGUGACGAUCGCCACACAUUCAUGAUGCUCGUCACGACCCAGACUGUGACGACCGUCACAGGCCCAUGACGAGCGUCACGCGGCCACAAAGUGCGCUUUGAAACAGUCAGCAACAGGCACCCAAACGUGCCUAAAUCUCCUCCAACAAACUUUUCCCACGGAUUCCUCUCUCAAGACCAAAUCUUCCUUGAUUUUCUCAACUACCAAGACCUAAUGGACACAAGUCAGCAACAGGCACCCAAACGUGCCUAAAUCUCCUCCAACAAACUUUUCCCACGGAUUCCUCUCUCAAGACCAAAUCUUCCUUGAUUUUCUCAACUACC
RNAcentral lists this long non-coding RNA (332 nucleotides) under Lathyrus oleraceus (garden pea). RNAcentral's name for it is "Pisum sativum (pea) long non-coding RNA (PSAT_LNC035317)". The record is from RNAcentral. Lineage: Eukaryota; Viridiplantae; Streptophyta; Magnoliopsida; Fabales; Fabaceae.